This 386-nucleotide ribosomal RNA is filed under the name uncultured bacterium. RNAcentral's name for it is "partial 16S ribosomal RNA". It matches the Rfam family "Bacterial small subunit ribosomal RNA", at positions 523 to 917 of the family's 1533-position model. The record is from RNAcentral.
AUACGGAGGAUGCAAGCGUUAUCCGGAUUUAUUGGGUUUAAAGGGUGCGUAGGCGGUUUGCUAAGCGGGAGGUGAAAUGCCGGCGCUCAACGUCGGAAGUGCCUCCCGAACUGGUGGACUUGAAUGACUCUGCCGUGGGAGGAAUGUGUAGUGUAGCGGUGAAAUGCUUAGAGAUUACACAGAACACCGAUUGCGAAGGCAUCUCACGAAGGGUUGAUUGACGCUGAGGCACGAAAGCGUGGGGAUCAAACAGGAUUAGAUACCCUGGUAGUCCACGCAGUAAACGAUGAGUACUAAGUGUCGGGUAACCGGUGCUGAAGUUAACACAUUAAAUACUCCGCCUGAGUAGUAUGGUCGCAAGGCUGAAACUCAAAGGAAUUGACGGG